Molecule: transfer RNA, 68 nt
Filed under: Psilochorema bidens
Lineage: Eukaryota; Metazoa; Arthropoda; Insecta; Trichoptera; Hydrobiosidae
Description: tRNA-Thr
Rfam family: tRNA
About the family: Transfer RNA (tRNA) molecules are approximately 80 nucleotides in length. Their secondary structure includes four short double-helical elements and three loops (D, anti-codon, and T loops).
Source: RNAcentral
AGUUUUAAUAGUUUAUAAAAAUAUUGGUCUUGUAAAUCAAAGUUGAGAAUUAUUUCUCUUAAAACUUC